Molecule: ribosomal RNA, 869 nt
Filed under: Dactylella atractoides
Lineage: Eukaryota; Fungi; Ascomycota; Orbiliomycetes; Orbiliales; Orbiliaceae
Description: eukaryotic LSU rRNA
Rfam family: Eukaryotic large subunit ribosomal RNA
Source: RNAcentral
CAACAGGGAUUGCCUCAGUAACGGCGAGUGAAGCGGCAACAGCUCAAAUUUGAAAUCUGGGAUUUUUAGUCUCCGAGUUGUAAUUUGAAGAGGAUGUUUCGGUUGGGACCUGGGCCUAAGUUCCUUGGAACAGGACGUCGUAGAGGGUGAGAAUCCCGUACACGGCUCCCGGUCUCCUUCCAUGUGUAACUCCCUCGAAGAGUCGAGUUGUUUGGGAAUGCAGCUCAAAAUGGGUGGUAAAUUUCAUCUAAAGCUAAAUAUUGGCGAGAGACCGAUAGCGCACAAGUAGAGUGAUCGAAAGAUGAAAAGCACUUUGAAAAGAGAGUUAAACAGUACGUGAAAUUGUUGAAAGGGAAGCGCUUGCAAUCAGACUUGCCUUCAGUUGAUCAACGUUCCUUUUGGUUCGUGCACUCUGCUGUUUGCAGGCCAGCAUCAGUUGGUGCGGUGGGACAAAGGUUGCGGGAAUGUGGCUCACUUCGGUGAGUGUUAUAGCCCGUUUCGUAAUGCCACCAGCGCCGAUUGAGGUCCGCGGUUCGUCCUAGGAUGCUGGCUUAAUGGUUGUAAGCGACCCGUCUUGAAACACGGACCAAGGAGUCUAACAUCUAUGCGAGUCUUUGGGUGUCAAACCCAUGGGCGAAAUGAAAGUGAACGGAGGUGGGAGUCUUCGGAUGCACCAUCGACCGAUCCUGAUGUUCUCGGAUGGAUUUGAGUAGGAGCAUAGCUGUUGGGACCCGAAAGAUGGUGAACUAUGCCUGAAUAGGGUGAAGCCAGAGGAAACUCUGGUGGAGGCUCGCAGCGGUUCUGACGUGCAAAUCGAUCGUCAAAUUUGGGUAUAGGGGCGAAAGACUAAUCGAUCCAUCUAGUAGCUG